GUGCCACCACCACACUUAGCUAAUUUUUGUGUUUUUAGUAGAGACAGGGUUUCACCAUAUUGGUCAGGCUGGUCUUGAACUCCUGACCUCAGGUGAUCUGCCUGCCUCGGCCUCCCAAAGUGCUGGGAUUACAGGCGUGAGCCAUUGUGCCUGGCCGCUAUUUUAAAAAUUACUAUUGUUUGGAGAUAUCAAACAUUUGAGAAAUAUAAUGUCAUAUUCUUAAAUAUUCCAGUUCUGUAAGAUCUCUUCAACCUGUGGUUAUAAAUGGAGACACAUUAUGAGUCAUCAUUCCUGUUUCAAUGUCUCUGAAACCGUUUGCUGAGCUAUUCUUCCUGGUUCCCUCAAAACCUCCUCAUCGAGUUACUUCUGGGAGGAGAGUUGGGGUAUCACAGAGACUUGCCUUCUUGCGCUCCAUCCCCAUCCAGGUCUGCUGCUGUGAAGCCACUUGAGGGCGCCUCCCCACUGUGACUGUGACACUGUGACCAAAGGGACCUGCCCAGACAGGAUGCAUGCCUGGGGACACUCUCUCUCUGAGCUCCAAAUAGCAAGCCAAGGCACCUGGUGUCCUCACCUGCUGAGCCCCUGCCAGAAGUGAGGAGAUGUCCCCCUGUCCCACUCUGGUCACACUUUGACACUUGGACCCCAUUAUCCCCCAGAAUCCUACCACCUCCCCAAACAUUCCUCCCACUCUUGUCUUCAGCCCUUCUCUUGAUCAACCUCACACAAGGGUGCUGAAGUCCAGCCCCAUCAGAGCCUCCUGUUUUUGAGACCUUCUUAUCCUCCCUCUUGCCCCAACCCCUACCUCCCAUACUGGCUUAAGACCCCUCUGUCCUGUAGCCAGAAAAUACAGGUCACAAGCACUAGGAAAAAUCAUAUGACUAGUCUCUCCCCAGUUUAACAGUGGACAAAGGUUUAUUGCACUCCUACUGUGUGCAAAGGACGUUGGACAUGGGGAUGAGCACGCCCCCAGGAACUUCCACCCAGCUCACAACCCAGCAGGGAGGGGUUUGUGUCACAUUCACCAUCUGACUAGGGAGAGACAGAGUUUGUGGUGAAUACCCACAUUCUUAGCCUAAGAUUCACCUGCUAAUUGCAUCUUCUAAUGUUGUCCAAGUUUUGCUAGGUGACACUCCUCACUCCAAGGAAGCUGUGCCUUUCUUAGGGUAGCCCCCAGGGCAUCUUGUUGCCAAAAGGCCUCAGUUUCCCUAGAGAUCUCGGUUCCUACACUAACUGCCAAGCGCUGGAAGGGUGGAACCAAGAUGAGGCACAGUGGGGCCGGUGCUCAGGAAAGCAGGCUCCUCUGGGGCAGAGAAUGCCCGCCAGAGAACAUGCCCCCCGACCUGGGCUCCCUUUCGGCCAUUGAUGAGGAAACCUGUCCCACGUCUGCGGCAGCGAUGAGGCCUGGAGGGCAGGGCCUGGCGCUGCCUGGCAAUGAGCGUCCCAGGUAUUUGGCCUUGCCUUUCAUAGAAGACAUGAUUGCUUUAAGAGAGUCCCAACCAGAGAAGAGGACGGUGGAGGAGGGAAGAGGGGAAGGUACAACUGAACAGAGGCUUUGAUUGUGAGGCUCCAGCCAGACCCACGCUUCCUCCUGCCUUCCUGCCUCAACCCUCCCCGGUGGACCCCUCACCAGAUGAAGGUCUGUUAGCUGAGCUGGGGGAUGAUGACUCAGAGGAACGGGGCUGACUUUCAGGCAAGGCCUGAGUUUGGUUUUAAUUAUGCUGCGCUGUGUGCAUGAACUAAAAUUGCGGGAUGAUGUGAAAGAAAAAUAAAUCUAAUGAGA
This 1780-nucleotide long non-coding RNA is filed under the name Homo sapiens (human). Its description in RNAcentral is "HSALNT0223723". Lineage: Eukaryota; Metazoa; Chordata; Mammalia; Primates; Hominidae. The record is from RNAcentral.